GAACAUGAAGUGAAUAUCAGGAUGAUGUCGCUUCUGACACAGGAGAUACCGGGACGGUAUGACAGGGAAAGGCUUCAGGAUGAAGUAGAGAGGAUAACGCCGGAGCGCGUUAAAGGACACCUCCAGGAAGGAGAAUGUGAACCGGGCAGGAUAUCCGGUGGAUCAGGAUGAUUAGGAAGUCGCUUAAUGGAUUAAGCGUGUCGUAUCGGGCGAUGCGAGCAGGCAGCAUGGUUUAUGGAUGAACAGGUCAGGAGACCGCAGGAAAAGUUUUCAUGGAUGAGCAGGGAGCAUCAAGGUAGCCGGACUGCUGCUAAACGAACCGGGAGCACUGUUUAAUUACAGUGCUCCCUUUUUUAUU
RNAcentral lists this non-coding RNA (358 nucleotides) under uncultured Pseudescherichia sp. Lineage: Bacteria; Pseudomonadati; Pseudomonadota; Gammaproteobacteria; Enterobacterales; Enterobacteriaceae. The record is from RNAcentral.